RNAcentral lists this ribosomal RNA (253 nucleotides) under uncultured bacterium. RNAcentral describes it as "partial 16S ribosomal RNA". It matches the Rfam family "Bacterial small subunit ribosomal RNA", at positions 524 to 776 of the family's 1533-position model. The record is from RNAcentral.
UACGGAGGGUGCAAGCGUUAUCCGGAUUCACUGGGUUUAAAGGGUGCGUAGGUGGGCAGGUAAGUCAGUGGUGAAAUCUCCGGGCUUAACCCGGAAACUGCCAUUGAUACUAUCUGUCUUGAAUACCGUGGAGGUGAGCGGAAUAUGUCAUGUAGCGGUGAAAUGCUUAGAUAUGACAUAGAACACCAAUCGCGAAGGCAGCUCACUACACGAAUAUUGACACUGAGGCACGAAAGCGUGGGGAUCAAACAGG